This is a non-coding RNA of Podarcis lilfordi (Lilford's wall lizard), 73 nucleotides long. The record is from the annotation of a GenBank genome assembly. NCBI's taxonomy places the organism in Eukaryota, Metazoa, Chordata, Lepidosauria, Squamata, Lacertidae.
UAUAUAGCUCAGUUGGUAGCGCGUGAGACUCUGAAUCUCAAGGUUGUGUGUUUGAGACCCAUGUUGGGCAAAA